AUACGUAGGGAGCGAGCGUUGUCCGGAAUUACUGGGUGUAAAGGGAGCGUAGGCGGGAGUGCAAGUCAGAUGUGAAAUACAUGGGCUCAACCCAUGGGCUGCAUUUGAAACUGCAUUUCUUGAGUGAAGUAGCGGUAAGCGGAAUUCCUGGUGUAGCGGUGAAAUGCGUAGAUAUCAGGAGGAACACCGGUGGCGAAGGCGGCUUACUGGGCUUUUACUGACGCUGAGGCUCGAAAGCGUGGGGAGCAAACAGGAUUAAAUACCCUGGUAGUCCACGCUGUAAACGAUGAUUACUAGGUGUGGGGGGACUGACCCCUUCCGUGUCGCAGUUAACACAAUAAGUAAUCCACCUGGGGAGUACGGCCGCAAGGUUGAAACUCAAAUGAAUUGACGGGG
Molecule: ribosomal RNA, 396 nt
Filed under: uncultured bacterium
Lineage: Bacteria
Description: partial 16S ribosomal RNA
Rfam family: Bacterial small subunit ribosomal RNA
Source: RNAcentral